This 936-nucleotide ribosomal RNA is filed under the name Staphylococcus aureus. Its description in RNAcentral is "partial 23S ribosomal RNA". It matches the Rfam family "Bacterial large subunit ribosomal RNA", at positions 1290 to 2222 of the family's 2925-position model. Lineage: Bacteria; Bacillati; Bacillota; Bacilli; Caryophanales; Staphylococcaceae. The record is from RNAcentral.
GAGAAUGCCGGUGUGAGUAGCGAAAGACGGGUGAGAAUCCCGUCCACCGAUUGACUAAGGUUUCCAGAGGAAGGCUCGUCCGCUCUGGGUUAGUCGGGUCCUAAGCUGAGGCCGACAGGCGUAGGCGAUGGAUAACAGGUUGAUAUUCCUGUACCACCUAUAAUCGUUUUAAUCGAUGGGGGGACGCAGUAGGAUAGGCGAAGCGUGCGAUUGGAUUGCACGUCUAAGCAGUAAGGCUGAGUAUUAGGCAAAUCCGGUACUCGUUAAGGCUGAGCUGUGAUGGGGAGAAGACAUUGUGUCUUCGAGUCGUUGAUUUCACACUGCCGAGAAAAGCCUCUAGAUAGAAAAUAGGUGCCCGUACCGCAAACCGACACAGGUAGUCAAGAUGAGAAUUCUAAGGUGAGCGAGCGAACUCUCGUUAAGGAACUCGGCAAAAUGACCCCGUAACUUCGGGAGAAGGGGUGCUCUUUAGGGUUAACGCCCAGAAGAGCCGCAGUGAAUAGGCCCAAGCGACUGUUUAUCAAAAACACAGGUCUCUGCUAAACCGUAAGGUGAUGUAUAGGGGCUGACGCCUGCCCGGUGCUGGAAGGUUAAGAGGAGUGGUUAGCUUCUGCGAAGCUACGAAUCGAAGCCCCAGUAAACGGCGGCCGUAACUAUAACGGUCCUAAGGUAGCGAAAUUCCUUGUCGGGUAAGUUCCGACCCGCACGAAAGGCGUAACGAUUUGGGCACUGUCUCAACGAGAGACUCGGUGAAAUCAUAGUACCUGUGAAGAUGCAGGUUACCCGCGACAGGACGGAAAGACCCCGUGGAGCUUUACUGUAGCCUGAUAUUGAAAUUCGGCACAGCUUGUACAGGAUAGGUAGGAGCCUUUGAAACGUGAGCGCUAGCUUACGUGGAGGCGCUGGUGGGAUACUACCCUAGCUGUGUUGGCUUUC